AUUGAACGCUGGCGGCAGGCUUAACACAUGCAAGUCGAGCGGAGCGAGGGUGCUUGCACCUUAGCUUAGCGGCGGACGGGUGAGUAAUGCUUAGGAAUCUGCCUAUUAGUGGGGGACAACAUUCCGAAAGGAAUGCUAAUACCGCAUACGCCCUACGGGGGAAAGCAGGGGAUCUUCGGACCUUGCGCUAAUAGAUGAGCCUAAGUCGGAUUAGCUAGUUGGUGGGGUAAGGGCCUACCAAGGCGACGAUCUGUAGCGGGUCUGAGAGGAUGAUCCGCCACACUGGGACUGAGACACGGCCCAGACUCCUACGGGAGGCAGCAGUGGGGAAUAUUGGACAAUGGGCGGAAGCCUGAUCCAGCCAUGCCGCGUGUGUGAAGAAGGUCUUUUGGUUGUAAAGCACUUUAAGCGAGGAGGAGGCUACUUAGAUUAAUACUCUGGGAUAGUGGACGUUACUCGCAGAAUAAGCACCGGCUAACUCUGUGCCAGCAGCCGCGGUAA
This 501-nucleotide ribosomal RNA is filed under the name uncultured bacterium. RNAcentral's name for it is "partial 16S ribosomal RNA". It matches the Rfam family "Bacterial small subunit ribosomal RNA", at positions 30 to 523 of the family's 1533-position model. The record is from RNAcentral.